CUUAUGCUGGGCAACCAUUAAUCUGUUCUCCAUAAAAAUUUGUAAUUUUAAAAAUGUUUUAUAAACUGAUUUUUAUGUGAUCUGUAAUGUUUGUGAGGGUAUCUCUGUAUUAGUUUGCUAGGGCUGCCAUAAAAAAAUAGUGGGUAGCUUAAAUAACCGAAAUUUCUUUUCUCACAGUUCUGGAGGCUGGAAGUCCAAGAUCAAGGUGCUAUCAGGGUUGGUUUCGGCUGUGGCCUCUCUUCCUGGCUUGUAGACAGCUAUCUUCUCGCAGUGUCCUCACGUGGCCUCUUUGUGUGAAGUUAAAAAUGAACAGAUCAACCUUUUACUCUUCUCUGAAAAAUAUAGUGAAAUUAAUAAUCAAGAACGAUUUUCUGAAAUGAAAACAUCCGAACAGCAUACUGCAAAGACAUUCAGGGGAAAAUAAAAUAGGUUUUGGCAAACGUCUAAUGACACAGAGCCACCAUUGCCAAUUUCACCACUGUCUUUCACCAAGUUGAUUCAUUUUGAACUGGCUCCAGCAAUCUACUCAGAGUUGACCUCAGAGCAAAAAAUUGAAGUGGGAAGCUGCUAAAGAAUGUGCUUGACUAAAACAAGGCAAUAAGCAAAAGGAAGUCAUAGCAUCCAGAAAAUGGGAUCCAUCAUGCGCACAAAGAAAAGGUGAAGAAAAUUUCCAGGAUGUUCAGAACCCACCAAAAACGAAAGAUUCUGGUCCAGAUCAGAAGAGAGGGAAACACUCUGAAAAAGUCCCUCAAAUACAAAAUUAAACAGAGUUUAAAUGAUGUGCUUGACCACAAUAAAAGGCUUCUUGCUCUGUAAGAUUUCUGGAAUUAAUUAGUGAUAAGCAAAGAUAAAUAUAAGCAAAUCAUCACAACAGAGUGAACACAUUCCAGUAGACCACAUGGAUGAGCUUUGGAAAAUACAGAUAUACGCAUAAUGUAAUCCCUUAAUUUCUGGGAGGCUGGAGGGAGGGAAAGUUUGAGAAGGUAAAAUGUGUGUGUUAAGAGUGGGAGUGGGUAAUAUGGUUAGGCUUUGUGUUCCCACACAAAUCUCAUCUGGAAUUGUAAUCCCCAUAAUCCCCACUUAUCAAGGGAGAAACCAGGUGGAGAUAACUGAAUCAUUGGAGGCAGUUUCCCCCAUGCUAUUCCUCUGAUAGUGAAUUCUCAUGAGAUCCAAUGAUUUUAUAACGGACUCUUCCCCCUUCACUCAGC
This 1208-nucleotide long non-coding RNA is filed under the name Homo sapiens (human). Its description in RNAcentral is "HSALNT0093293". Lineage: Eukaryota; Metazoa; Chordata; Mammalia; Primates; Hominidae. The record is from RNAcentral.